AUUGAACGCUGGCGGCAGGCUUAACACAUGCAAGUCGAGCGGAGAUGAGGUGCUUGCACCUUAUCUUAGCGGCGGACGGGUGAGUAAUGCUUAGGAAUCUGCCUAUUAGUGGGGGACAACAUUCCGAAAGGAAUGCUAAUACCGCAUACGUCCUACGGGAGAAAGCAGGGGAUCUUCGGACCUUGCGCUAAUAGAUGGGCCUAAGUCGGAUUAGCUAGUUGGUGGGGUAAAGGCCUACCAAGGCGACGAUCUGUAGCGGGUCUGAGAGGAUGAUCCGCCACACUGGGACUGAGACCCGGCCCAGACUCCUACGGGAGGCAGCAGUGGGGAAUAUUGGACAAUGGGGGAAACCCUGAUCCAGCCAUGCCGCGUGUGUGAAGAAGGCCUUAUGGUUGUAAAGCACUUUAAGCGAGGAGGAGGCUACUGAGACUAAUACUCUUGGAUAGUGGACGUUACUCGCAGAAUAAGCACCGGCUAACUCUGUGCCAGCCGCCGCCGUAA
RNAcentral lists this ribosomal RNA (501 nucleotides) under uncultured bacterium. RNAcentral's name for it is "partial 16S ribosomal RNA". It matches the Rfam family "Bacterial small subunit ribosomal RNA", at positions 30 to 523 of the family's 1533-position model. The record is from RNAcentral.